UGGGGAAUCUUGCACAAUGGGCGAAAGCCUGAUGCAGCGACGCCGCGUGCGGGAUGAAGGCCUUCGGGUUGUAAACCGCUUUCAGCAGGGACGAGGCCGCAAGGUGACGGUACCUGCAGAAGAAGCCCCGGCUAACUACGUGCCAGCAGCCGCGGUAAUACGUAGGGGGCAAGCGUUAUCCGGAUUCAUUGGGCGUAAAGCGCGCGUAGGCGGUUUGUUAGGUCAGGAGUUAAAUCUGGGGGCUCAACCCCUAUCCGCUCCUGAUACCGGCAGGCUUGAGUCUGGUAGGGGAAGGCGGAAUUCCAAGUGUAGCGGUGAAAUGCGCAGAUAUUUGGAAGAACACCGGUGGCGAAGGCGGCCUUCUGGGCCACGACUGACGCUGAGGCGCGAAAGCUAGGGGAGCAAACAGG
Molecule: ribosomal RNA, 410 nt
Filed under: Verrucomicrobiota bacterium
Lineage: Bacteria; Pseudomonadati; Verrucomicrobiota
Description: Verrucomicrobia bacterium partial 16S ribosomal RNA
Rfam family: Bacterial small subunit ribosomal RNA
Source: RNAcentral